Molecule: ribosomal RNA, 477 nt
Filed under: uncultured Actinomycetes bacterium
Lineage: Bacteria; Bacillati; Actinomycetota; Actinomycetes
Description: bacterial SSU rRNA
Rfam family: Bacterial small subunit ribosomal RNA
Source: RNAcentral
CUGAGUCGAGGUGCUGCAUGGCUGUCGUCAGCUCGUGUCGUGAGAUGUUGGGUUAAGUCCCGCAACGAGCGCAACCCUUGUCCUGUGUUGGCAUGCCGAAAGGCGCAACUCUCAGGAGACCGCCAGCGAUAAGUUGGAGGAAGGUGGGGAUGACGUCAAGUCAUCAUGGCCUUUAUGUCCAGGGCUACACACGUGCUACAAUGGGCGGUACAAAGCGCUGCAGACCCGCGAGGGGGAGCUAAUCGCAAAAAACCGUUCUCAGUUCGGAUUGCAGGCUGCAAUUCGCCUGCAUGAAGCUGGAAUCGCUAGUAAUGGCAUAUCAGAACGAUGCCGUGAAUACGUUCCCGGGCCUUGUACACACCGCCCGUCACAUCACGAAAGUGGGUUGUACUAGAAGUCUGCAUGCUAACCCGCAAGGGAGGCAGCGGCCCAAGGUAUGACUCAUGAUUGGGGUGAAGUCGUAACAAGGUAGCCGUA